This is a long non-coding RNA of Ipomoea nil (Japanese morning glory), 227 nucleotides long. RefSeq lists it as uncharacterized. NCBI's taxonomy places the organism in Eukaryota, Viridiplantae, Streptophyta, Magnoliopsida, Solanales, Convolvulaceae. The transcript is spliced from 2 exons. The record is from RefSeq and is a predicted model, not a curated record.
CGGUCGGCGAUCGGGCCGAAGAACGGUAAUCCGUAGCCGCCGGGGAUUUCCCGGAGGGGGAGGUUCUUAGUGUUAUCGGACGACAUUUUUUUUUUUCCGGCGGAGGUCAGAUGAAAAUAUGAAUUGAAGAAGACUACUUGUGACUUGUGAGAAGUGAUUGGUAGUAUUAGAAUUUAUAGCGAGAUUCAAGAAAGAAAUAAUGCUACAAUUUAUGCAUGUUUUAAUCU